UUGAUUUCUUUGGGUUGAAAUAAGGUAUGAAAAUCUUUUCUACAAAAAUGAGUACCUCGUGGCCAUUUACAUUUUUUAAAAGUAGCUCUCACAAGAAAAAAAGUUGGUGACCCCUGCUGGAGACAUUACGGGUGAGCCUGUUAGGUCUAACAAAUACAAUACAUACUGUAUGUACUGUAUGUGAAUGUGUGCCUUACCUCUUUGCCCGUCAGGAUGUGUCGUGCCAACUUGACCUUGGCAAAGUUCCCUUUGCCGAUGGUCUUGAGUAAACGAUAGUUGCCGAUGUGCGGCUGCUCGUCAGAGCAGGAGGCGAUUGAGUUCCUGCACCGGGCGCCAAGAGAACGACUGGACUGACUUGUAGCCUUGUCCGAACGGCUGGCCCCCAGCAACACAUGCUGCAAAAAAUGAAAGAGUGGGCUUUAAAGAAAGACGGGGGUCACACAUUGCCAAUAACAAUGUCACCUAAAGCAGAGAAAUGAACAAGGACCUCCAGGGCCACCCACUCCUGAAGACCGCUAAUGAUCCUGAAGAUCUAAAUGAUCUGUGAGAGUGUGGGCAUCCACAAUCUGGUUUUGAACUCUAAAGAUUAAAAACAACAACUAGUAAUGCUAUGCUAAUGCUCAGACAACAGACAGUAUCUGCUGUAAUAAUGGAAAUCACAGACAUGUUCAUUUCAUUUUACUGCAGCAGUGGCCAACCCUCAAUUAUUCUGACCACACAAUUUAUGUACAAUGCUGGAGAAAUAUUUGAUCCCCUGACGAUUUCAAAGUUUACCCCCCUUACAAAGACAUGAACAAUCCAUAAUUUUUUUGGUUGCUUUAUUUUGAUUGAAAUAAGUAUUCAAUCUCCUACCAACCAUCAAGCAUUCUGACCCCACAGAUGGGCUAUGUGCCCACGAAACACAGAAAUCAGUCCUGUCCCUUUAGGGACAAGGUUGCAGACCUGCAAAAGACUGACCAUGGACUACAAGACCACCAGCAAGAAGCGCUUGACGUCAGGCUGUCCAGCUCUGUGCCAACACCAGAGCCUUCCUUCCUCACCAGUUUGUCCACGCGUGUGGCAUCCUCCUUCUUGAGACUGCUCCCCCAGCACACUACUGCAUACGGGAGGGCACUAGCUACCACAGCUAACUUUACUGUAUCCUUUGUACUCUACUGUACUGCAGUGUACCACAGCACAGGACAAGACUUCACCACAUUGAGGCACCAACAUACCGACAACUGUUGGCCUUUGUUAAAAUAAGGCUCCCAAAAAUGAGUGUUCAUAUUAUUGUACGGGCACAGGGGAUCAAAUACUUAUGUCCCCCCCGUAUGACAGCCCUCACUGACUAUCAAGUUAUUUAUAAAGAAUGAGUCUUACAAAGGAGAAGGGGAUGUGGGGGGGUUGUGCACAUAAAGCGUACUGUAAUGUGUUACAGUCUGAAGCAUCCUCUUGUAAACAAAAGCCAAAACCAGGAGGCAGAAGAACCAGGAUGUCAGGGAGAUAAGUGGAUGAGGUGCACAGAGACAAACAAAUAAA
Molecule: long non-coding RNA, 1518 nt
Organism: Dunckerocampus dactyliophorus (ringed pipefish)
Lineage: Eukaryota; Metazoa; Chordata; Actinopteri; Syngnathiformes; Syngnathidae
Exons: 3
Source: RefSeq, a predicted model, not a curated record